RNAcentral lists this ribosomal RNA (301 nucleotides) under uncultured bacterium. RNAcentral's name for it is "partial 16S ribosomal RNA". It matches the Rfam family "Bacterial small subunit ribosomal RNA", at positions 509 to 807 of the family's 1533-position model. The record is from RNAcentral.
CAGCAGCCGCGGGAAUACGUAGGGUGCGAGCGUUAAUCGGAAUUACUGGGCGUAAAGGGCGCGUAGGCGGACAGUUCAGUCGGGGGUGAAAGCCCGGGGCUCAACCUCGGAAUUGCCUUCGAUACUGGCUGUCUUGAGUACGGGAGAGGUGAGUGGAACUCCGAGUGUAGAGGUGAAAUUCGUAGAUAUUCGGAAGAACACCAGUGGCGAAGGCGACUCACUGGCCCGUUACUGACGCUGAGGCGCGAAAGCGUGGGGAGCAAACAGGAUUAGAUACCCCAGUAGUCCCUGUCUCUUAUAC